RNAcentral lists this ribosomal RNA (468 nucleotides) under uncultured bacterium. RNAcentral's name for it is "partial 16S ribosomal RNA". It matches the Rfam family "Bacterial small subunit ribosomal RNA", at positions 28 to 507 of the family's 1533-position model. The record is from RNAcentral.
GACGAACGCUGGCGGCGUGCUUAACACAUGCAAGUCGAACGGAAAGGCCCUGCUUUUGUGGGGUGCUCGAGUGGCGAACGGGUGAGUAACACGUGAGUAACCUGCCCUUGACUUUGGGAUAACUUCAGGAAACUGGGGCUAAUACCGGAUAGGAGCUCCUGCUGCAUGGUGGGGGUUGGAAAGUUUCGGCGGUUGGGGAUGGACUCGCGGCUUAUCAGCUUGUUGGUGGGGUAGUGGCUUACCAAGGCUUUGACGGGUAGCCGGCCUGAGAGGGUGACCGGCCACAUUGGGACUGAGAUACGGCCCAGACUCCUACGGGAGGCAGCAGUGGGGAAUAUUGCACAAUGGGCGGAAGCCUGAUGCAGCAACGCCGCGUGCGGGAUGACGGCCUUCGGGUUGUAAACCGCUUUCGCCUGUGACGAAGCGUGAGUGAUGGUAAUGGGUAAAGAAGCACCGGCUAACUACGUG